GCUUUUUCUCCGGCCGAAGAGCAGUGAUCCGAAGCAGUUCCGGUACUGUGGAUGUACCGGUAACUAGAGGCUGCCCGCAGGGAUCAAUCAGCGGCCCAUUUAUCUGGGACAUACUGAUGGAUGUACUGCUUCAGCGUCUCCAGCCGUAUUGCCAGCUGAGUGCAUACGCGGAUGACUUGCUGCUUCUCGUCGAGGGAAAUUCCCGAGCUGUGCUAGAGGAAAAAGGAGCGCAACUAAUGUCCAUCGUAGAAACGUGGGGAGCGGAAGUUGGCGUUGCCGUCUCGACCAGCAAGACGGUAAUCAUGCUGCUGAAAGGUGCCUUGAGACGUGCGCCUACGGUGAGGUUUGCUGGAGCGAACCUUCCGUAUGUGCGUAGCUGUCGGUACCUUGGCAUCACGGUCAGUGAAGGAAUGAAAUUCCUCACGCACAUAGCUUCGCUUCGCCAGCGGAUGACCGGAGUCGUUGGAGCAUUGGCGCGUGUGCUUCGAGCCGACUGGGGCUUCAGUCCUCGAGCCAGGCGGACCAUAUAUGACGGACUCAUGGCACCUUGUGUGCUGUUUGGUGCCCCGGUAUGGUAUGACACCGCGGAACAAGUAGCUGCCCAGAGGCGACUAGCCUCCUGCCAGAGGCUAAUCCUGCUUGGAUGCCUUUCGGUAUGCCGAACAGUGUCCACAGUGGCACUGCAGGUACUUGGUGGAGCUCCCCCGCUUGAUCUGGCUGCUAAGUUAUUAGCGUCAAAUACAAGCUAAAACGUGGAUUCCCGCUGGAGGAGAACGACUGGCUUUACGGCGAGGACAUUGCGUGUCUAGCUGGGAGCAGAGGAAGACUCGCCUAGAGGAGUGUUUAAUCCAGAGUUGGCAGAACAGAUGGGACGACGACAGCGAACCAGGACGGGUGACGCAUAGGUUUAUCCCAUACGUCACUCUUGCCUAUCGGGAUCCAAGUUUUGGAUUCUCGAUGAGGACGUCUUUCCUGCUUACAGGGCACGGGUCGUUCAAUGCAUUUUUGCACGGGAGAGCCCUCAGCGAUACCACUGCUUGCGCAUGUGGAGAUCCAUAUGAGGACUGGAUGCAUAUCUUGUGCGCUUGCCCCCUAUAUGCAGAUCUGCGGGACCUAGAUGGACUUGGAGUGCAGCGCCUUGGCGAAAACUGGAUCUUCGAGGAAUCCUGGAUGAUCAAGAGAAGACUCAACGGCUGGCAAUGUUGCGGAGAAGUGUUCCUGAGGAGGAGGGGCGUUUAGCUCAACAUCUCUGCCGUGUGGUUAGCGGGCGAGAAUACUACCACAGUCCGCUGUUGCUUGUCGUAAGAGACGACUAAUACAGCGAUAGGAUUCCUCUAACCCUGCUUGUCGGAGCAAAAGGGGGAGGCCCACCGAGCCUCUUUUCGGUACCACGGGUUGAGCAGCUAUCCAAGACUGCUCAUUGAGGUAGGCCCCCUGGUGGGAGUAUCGUGGUGGCUGUGGUUGGUACCCAUAUCGCGGGUAGAGCCUUCAUGCUCGACGUUUGAGUUACGGUGCUAGUUGCGCAAAACUCGGGUGCUGUGACCCAGAGAUCAGUAGAGAUUUUAGGUAGAUCUCGCUCCUCAGCAAGGGGGAGUGCUUGCCCGGCAAGCAAGUACUCGAAUUGCUACCGGGGUGGUCGCUAUGUACAUAGCUAUAGCUUCUAGUCCGGGACGCUUGUCUGGCGUAUCCAGACACAUGCACCAUAUGCUCACUUGUGGGUGUAUAGGGUGCCGUGGUUGUAAUCCCUUCAGUGUGGAACACGCCACGUAAAAUAAGUUCGGAGGGAUCCGAAAAGCAUACAUUGUCCCUAUCUACUAUCUAGCGAAACCACAGCCAAGGGAACGGGCUUGGAAUAAUUAGCGGGGAAAGAAGACCCUUUUGAGCUUGACUCUAAUCUGGCAGUGUAAGGAGACAUAAGAGGUGUAGAAUAAGUGGGAGAUAUUAGACCUCGGUUUGGUAUCGUCAAUGAAAUACCACUACUCUUAUUGUUUCCUUACUUACUUGAUUAAAUGGAACGUGUAUCAUUUCCUAGCCAUUAUACGGAUAUAUUUAUUAUAUCUUAUGGUAUUGGGUUUUGAUGCAAGCUUCUUGAUCAAAGUAUCACGAGUUUGUUAUAUAAUCGCAAACAAAUUCUUUAAUAAAACGAUGCAUUUAUGUAUUUUUGAUUUGAAAAUUUGGUAUAACUCCAAUUACUCAGGUAUGAUCCAAUUCAAGGACAUUGCCAGGUAGGGAGUUUGACUGGGGCGGUACAUCUCUCAAAUAAUAACGGAGGUGUCCCAAGGCCAGCUCAGUGCGGACAGAAACCACACAUAGAGCAAAAGGGCAAAUGCUGACUUGAUCUCGGUGUUCAGUACACACAGGGACAGCAAAAGCUCGGCCUAUCGAUCCUUUUGGUUUAAAGAGUUUUUAACAAGAGGUGUCAGAAAAGUUACCAUAGGGAUAACUGGCUUGUGGCGGCCAAGCGUUCAUAGCGACGUCGCUUUUUGAUCCUUCGAUGUCGGCUCUUCCUAUCAUUGUGAAGCAAAAUUCACCAAGCGUUGGAUUGUUCACCCAUGCAAGGGAACGUGAGCUGGGUUUAGACCGUCGUGAGACAGGUUAGUUUUACCCUACUAAUGACAAAACGUUGUUGCGACAGCAUUCCUGCGUAGUACGAGAGGAACCGCAGGUACGGACCAAUGGCACAAUACUUGUUCGAGCGAACAGUGGUAUGACGCUACGUCCGUUGGAUUAUGCCUGAACGCCUCUAAGGUCGUAUCCGUGCUGGACUGCAAUGAUAAAUAAGGGGCAAUUUGCAUUGUAUGGCUUCUAAACCAUUUAAAGUUUAUAAUUUACUUUAUAAACGACAAUGGAUGUGAUGCCAAUGUAAUUUGUAACAUAGUAAAUUGGGAGGAUCUUCGAUCACCUGAUGCCGCGCUAGUUACAUAUAAAAGCAUUAUUU
RNAcentral lists this ribosomal RNA (2938 nucleotides) under Drosophila melanogaster (fruit fly). RNAcentral's name for it is "eukaryotic LSU rRNA". The stretch from base 1768 to 2938 matches the Rfam family "Eukaryotic large subunit ribosomal RNA", at positions 1891 to 3320 of the family's 3401-position model. Lineage: Eukaryota; Metazoa; Arthropoda; Insecta; Diptera; Drosophilidae. The record is from RNAcentral.